GACGGGGGGGGCAAGUGUUCUUCGGAAUGACUGGGCGUAAAGGGCACGUAGGCGGUGAAUCGAGUUGAAAGUGAAAGUCGCCAAAAAGUGGCGGAAUGCUCUCGAAACCAAUUCACUUGAGUGAGACAGAGGAGAGUGGAAUUUCGUGUGUAGGGGUGAAAUCCGUAAAUAUACGAAGGAACGCCAAAAGCGAAGGCAGCUCUCUGGGUCCCUACCGACGCUGGGGUGCGAAAGCAUGGGGAGCGAACAGG
Molecule: ribosomal RNA, 251 nt
Filed under: uncultured bacterium
Lineage: Bacteria
Description: partial 16S ribosomal RNA
Rfam family: Bacterial small subunit ribosomal RNA
Source: RNAcentral